This is a long non-coding RNA of Xiphophorus maculatus (southern platyfish), 793 nucleotides long. RefSeq lists it as uncharacterized. The record is from RefSeq and is a predicted model, not a curated record. NCBI's taxonomy places the organism in Eukaryota, Metazoa, Chordata, Actinopteri, Cyprinodontiformes, Poeciliidae. The transcript is spliced from 3 exons.
AUGGGAGAUCAGGAACUCUGGAGGUUUUCCAGGAUAUUGUCGAUACCAGAAGAAAUAAUCGUUGCCGUCUGCUGUUUUGGAGAAGAAACAGCUCUGUCAGAGUUACCUGCUGUGGUGUGAGUCUGAAGACCAACCAGUGCAGAGACAGUACAGGAAAUGAUUGGACUAGCUGUUCUGGUUAAUGAGGAGAAGGAGGAAGCUGAGCUCUGGAUGGUUCCUGGAGGCAGAACCAUGUUGGACUGGGCCAACAUGGUUUUACCUGAAGCCCAUUACCUGUUUUCUCUACAUGGAAGCACCACUUCUUAUUGACACAAUGCUGGAACACAGAGCACAAGGAGAGCGCCGCCUACUGGAGCAUGGCGCCCCCUGGUGGAGAGGAGAGGUGGAGUUCACCAGAGAGGAGACGAGGCUCCAGCAGCUGGUCAGUGGGUCAGAUGUUCAGGAGGAACUGGUUUUACUGGUUUUACUGGAUACUGUUGACAGCAGAAAUGAUCUCCUGCUGUAUUCUCAACUGGACUCUUCAAACUGGACUUCAGUGAGGUUUUCACAAUUAUCCUGUAAAGGAAGUGAAAAAUGUUUCUAAAGCUUGACCAAAUUGGUGCUUUUUAUUCCAGGGAUUUCUAACAAAGUAAUCAUUGAAGACAGAUAUCCUUCCUGUUUUAAGAAUGAUUGUGACAACAGAGGAAACGUGACCCAGAAAUAUUGUGACAUUUUCCUCAAACUUUCAGUUCUGCCAGCAUGGCUUCUUGAAUUCAGCUAACAGUGGGAAUUAUUUUGUUUUCUGAUCUGUUUC